Molecule: long non-coding RNA, 1545 nt
Filed under: Sus scrofa (pig)
Lineage: Eukaryota; Metazoa; Chordata; Mammalia; Artiodactyla; Suidae
Description: lncRNA (ENSSSCG00015075043.1)
Source: RNAcentral
ACGGCUGCACAUGAACCUGACAUCUGUCCACGAUCUGUCUGGGAUGUGAGCUCCAGGAAUCCCAGUCUGUUUGCUGCAGCGCGGGAUCUCCUGGGCCUGGAUAGGGUUUCUUAGCCUCAGCCCUAUUGACAGUUUGGACCAGAUAACUCCCCGUGGAGGGGGCUGCCCUGUGCCUUGUGAGAUGUCAGGCAGCACCCCUGGCCUCUACCCACUAUAUGCCAGCAGCACGGCCCCCCUUCCAAGUCGUGAUAGUUAAGAACUUCUCCAGAUUUUGCUGACUGUUCCCUGAGGGAGGGGCAAGGUCACCUUGGGUUGAGAACCACUGGCCAAGAAACAUUUAGCAUAGAGUAAACAUGCAUAUAUAUGGAGAGGAUGAAUUAACAGUGUUUAUUCGGAGUUCCUGUCCUGGCUCAGGGGUUAACAAACCCUACCAGUAUCCAUGAGGACGAGGGUUCGAUCCCUGGCCUCGGUCAGUGGGUUAAGGAUCUGGCAUUGCCAUGAUCUGUGUUGUAGAUUGCAGACACGGGUGGGUGUGAUCCAUGUUGCUGCAGCUGUGGCUAGGGGUUGAAUCAGAGCUGUAGCUGCAGGCCUACGCCACAGCCACAGCCAGAGGAAUGAGGGAUCCAAGCCAUGUCUGCAACGUAUACCACAGCUCAUGGUAACACUGGAUCCUUAACCCACUGAGCGAGGCCAGGGAUCAAACCCACAUCCUCAUGGAUACUAGUCAGGCUUGUAACCUGCUGAACCACAACAGGGAACUAUUAUUGUGGAUUUGUAAUAGUGACCACAACUGUCUUUUAUUGAGUGAGUGCUGUAUCCAGCUGCGUGUGUGGUUUUAUUCAGUCCUACAGCAGCUGAAUGUGGAGAUCCUAUCAGUGGCCCCAGUUUACAGGGAAGGGGCUUAGAGGCGUAAGGGGCAGGUCCUUCUUUGGAGCCCAGCCCUGCCUGACUCCAGAGCCCAACAGCCCAACCACUGCCCUGUUCUCUGCUCUUCAAUGGAGAAAAAGAGUCAGUGACUCUGGCCAGGGCUCUUAGGCACAGAGGCGUGCUGCCCAGGACCCUCCAGGACUGAAGGCCACUCCUCGCCAUGGGGAGGGCUGCUGGGACAGCCCUGGGCUCACAGCCGUCUUUGGAAAUUGCCUCUGCUCAAAAAGUAUCCAGGCUGAAGUCAUGUCCCCUCCCUAGGCAGCCCUUGCAACUACUAUAUAUAAAGAUAAAUAAGGACCUGCUGUGGAGCACAGGGAACUAUAUUCAAUGUCUUAUAAUAACCUAUCAUGGGAGUUCCCGUUGUGGCGCAGUGGUUAACGAAUCCGACUAGGAACCAUGAGGUUGUGGGUUCGGUCCCUGCCCUUGCUCAGUGGGUUAAGGAUCCGGCGUUGCCCUGAGCUGUGGUGUAGGUUGCAGACGUGGCUCGGAUCCCGAGUUGCUGUGCCUCUGGUGUAGGCUGGUGGCUACAGCUCCGAUUGGACCCCUAGCCUGGGAAUCUCCACAUGCCACGGGAGUGCCCCAAGAAAUAGCAAAAAAAAAAAAAAGACAAAAAAAAAA